Molecule: long non-coding RNA, 1362 nt
Filed under: Sparus aurata (gilthead seabream)
Lineage: Eukaryota; Metazoa; Chordata; Actinopteri; Spariformes; Sparidae
Description: lncRNA (ENSSAUG00010021881.1)
Source: RNAcentral
AUGGAGGUGGUACAGGAGGACAGGGAGGGAGAACCUGUUGAGAGGCGACGACUACAGAGUUCAAACCAAACAGCAGCUGCUGGUCAGCCACAGGAAACAUCUUGGUCACGGACCCUGAGGACUCUGAGGACACCUCGACCCAGGCAAGGCUGGUACAGUUUAGCUGCGGUUGGUGUCGUGUGGUCGGUCUGCCAGGUGGAGGCGCCGCUGCACCCCUCUCUGUCACCGGUGGAUGUGUGCUGGAGGCUCCUGUGGGUGUGUGUGCUGUGGAUGGCUGUGGGAGUCUGCGUCCGUGCCCUGAAGUGCUGCCUGCGGCCAGGACAGAACCAGGGGGAGACUCCGCUGAGGACGCAGGAGGAAGUCAUAACUGAAAGCAGGAAUAACCUUCAUUCAUGGGCGCCUCCAUCGAGGGGCCCGGGUCACGUCUUCCCUCUGGCCCUCGUCCUGGCCGACAGCCUGCUGCUGUGUGUGCUCCAGGAGCCCCUGCUGGACCCCAGCGUGCCCCACAUAAAGACUCUCCUCUCCAGGCUGGAGUCAGUGUCUCGCUCACUCGAGAAGGCCGACGUCAGGUCAGAAGCGACACCAGAGGAGGCGGACCAGCACUCGAUACUGACGGACAAAGUGAAGCUCAUCUGCAACUACCUGCAGCAAAGGAUGAGGUCGCUGGGUAGACUCGUCCAGGUGCAGGGGGAUUUUGAAGCCAGCGUGAAGGACAUGCUGGAGGGCCUCGGUGGCCUCUGGGCUCAGCUGGAGGAGCUGCACACCAGAGUCACGCUCACCAAAGAGGGCAGCCGGGGCCUCAGGGACCUGGCCUCGGCCCAGGCAGAUGCAGAGGCUUUGCUCACAGUCUUGGGUGACUACAAGAACAGACUUCAGUGCUGCCAGGCUUAUCUGAAGGACAGCACACAACUUCUGCAGGAGUUAACCUGGAGUCACACUCACGUAAGCAACAGCGUGAGCAGCGGCGCUGAGUCAGUCUGGCCUGAGCUGUUGCUCCAGUCCAACAUUGAGCAGUUUGACAAGGUGCAGGAGAGUUUCCUCUCCGUGGAACAACAGACCACUACGUUCCAGGCCCACCUGCGGGGACUUGGAAAGGGGGAUCGGGAAGGACACGCGGGGCCCCUCGCUCAAGCCAACGGGGCCGAUUCACGCUCGGUCUCUCCACAGACUUCCCUACAGCUCGACAGCAGACGCACAAGCGAUGCGUCACUGGAGAUCUCGACCUCUGCGUCCGUCUCCGUCUCCUCAGCAGAUGCAGACGUGGAAGCCGAAACAGAGACGCCUCUCUCGCUCUGUGAGAGGUCGGCUCUAAGCUUCUCCUCCACCAUCGGACGUCUGCGAAAAUCUGGAAGGAGGAAGUGA